Molecule: ribosomal RNA, 431 nt
Filed under: uncultured bacterium
Lineage: Bacteria
Description: partial 16S ribosomal RNA
Rfam family: Bacterial small subunit ribosomal RNA
Source: RNAcentral
AACGAACGCUGGCGGCAGGCUUAACACAUGCAAGUCGAGCGCCUCGCAAGAGGAGCGGCAGACGGGUGAGUAACGCGUGGGAACGUACCCUUAUCUUCGGAAUAGCUCUGGGAAACUGGAAGUAAUACCGAAUGUGCCCUUAGGGGGAAAGAUUUAUCGGAUAAGGAUCGGCCCGCGUUGGAUUAGCUAGUUGGUGGGGUAAAGGCCUACCAAGGCGACGAUCCAUAGCUGGUCUGAGAGGAUGAUCAGACACAUUGGGACUGAGACACGGCCCAAACUCCUACGGGAGGCAGCAGUGGGGAAUAUUGGACAAUGGGCGCAAGCCUGAUCCAGCCAUGCCGCGUGAGUGAUGAAGGCCUUAGGGUUGUAAAGCUCUUUCACCGGAGAAGAUAAUGACGGUAUCCGGAGAAGAAGCCCCGGCUAACUUCGUG